Symsagittifera roscoffensis is the source of this 198-nucleotide small nuclear RNA. RefSeq annotates it as U2 spliceosomal RNA. Lineage: Eukaryota; Metazoa; Xenacoelomorpha; Acoela; Convolutidae. The record is from RefSeq and is a predicted model, not a curated record. The transcript has a single exon.
GUCGAUUCUCAGCCUUUUGUCUAAGUUCAUGUGUACAUGUGUAGUAUUUUUUCUCGUCAUCUCAGUAUCUGGCAUGCUGAGUAUUGCCUGCCAUCAAUUUCAAACAUAUUUUGGCCGACCGAAUUAAAAACGAAGCUUGUUUCAGUUGAUUCACGGAUUUCCACAGUUUGAACUACCACCAGGCCUUGUCAAAAGUUU